UCUACGGGCGGCAGCAGUGAGGAAUAUUGGUCAAUGGGCGAGAGCCUGAACCAGCCAAGUCGCGUGAAGGAUGAAGGAUCUAUGGUUUGUAAACUUCUUUUAUAUGGGAAUAAAGUGAGGAACGUGUUCCUUUUUGUAUGUACCAUAUGAAUAAGCAUCGGCUAACUCCGUGCCAGCAGCCGCGGUAAUACGGAGGAUGCGAGCGUUAUCCGGAUUUAUUGGGUUUAAAGGGUGCGUAGGUGGUUAAUUAAGUCAGCGGUGAAAGUUUGUGGCUCAACCAUAAAAUUGCCGUUGAAACUGGUUGACUUGAGUAUAUUUGAGGUAGGCGGAAUGCGUGGUGUAGCGGUGAAAUGCAUAGAUAUCAUGAAGAACUCCGAUCGCGAAGGCAAGUGUCCGGGGUGCAACUGACGCUGAGGCUCGAAAGUGCGGGUAUCAAACAGGAUUAGAUACCCGUGUAGUC
This 460-nucleotide ribosomal RNA is filed under the name uncultured bacterium. RNAcentral describes it as "partial 16S ribosomal RNA". It matches the Rfam family "Bacterial small subunit ribosomal RNA", at positions 338 to 795 of the family's 1533-position model. The record is from RNAcentral.